AAGUCGAGCGAACGGACGAGAAGCUUGCUUCUCUGAUGUUAGCGGCGGACGGGUGAGUAACACAUGGAUAACCUACCUAUAAGACUGGGAUAACUUCGGGAAACCGGAGCUAAUACCGGAUAAUAUUUUGAACCGCAUGGUUCAAAAGUAAAAGACGGUCUUGCUGUCACUUAUAGAUGGAUCCGCGCUGCAUUAGCUAGUUGGUAAGGUAACGGCUUACCAAGGCAACGAUGCAUAGCCGACCUGAGAGGGUGAUCGGCCACACUGGAACUGAGACACGGUCCAGACUCCUACGGGAGGCAGCAGUAGGGAAUCUUCCGCAAUGGGCGAAAGCCUGACGGAGCAACGCCGCGUGAGUGAUGAAGGUCUUCGGAUCGUAAAACUCUGUUAUUAGGGAAGAACAUACGUGUAAGUAACUGUGCACAUCUUGACGGUACCUAAUCAGAAAGCCACGGCUAACUACGUGCCAGCAGCCGCGGUAAUACGUAGGUGGCAAGCGUUAUCCGGAAUUAUUGGGCGUAAAGCGCGCGUAGGCGGUUUUUUAAGUCUGAUGUGAAAGCCCACGGCUCAACCGUGGAGGGUCAUUGGAAACUGGAAAACUUGAGUGCAGAAGAGGAAAGUGGAAUUCCAUGUGUAGCGGUGAAAUGCGCAGAGAUAUGGAGGAACACCAGUGGCGAAGGCGACUUUCUGGUCUGUUACUGACGCUGAUGUGCGAAAGCGUGGGGAUCAAACAGGAU
RNAcentral lists this ribosomal RNA (737 nucleotides) under uncultured Staphylococcus sp. Its description in RNAcentral is "bacterial SSU rRNA". It matches the Rfam family "Bacterial small subunit ribosomal RNA", at positions 59 to 778 of the family's 1533-position model. Lineage: Bacteria; Bacillati; Bacillota; Bacilli; Caryophanales; Staphylococcaceae. The record is from RNAcentral.